GUAUAUAUUCAGGGCCCCUAGGUCAGUAAUCUCAUAGUGUAUUAAAAAGCAUCUCAUCUGGCAAGGUCCUGGAAACUUUUCUGAGAUUCUGCCCCAGGACACUGACUUUCAACAGGAUGAAGACUGCAACCUGUUCCCUUCUCAUCUGCGUCUUCCUUCUCCAGCUGAUGGUCCCAGUGAAUACUGAUGGAACCUUAGACAUUAUUGGGAAGAAAAAGGUCAAGGAACUUCUAGCCCAUCAAGAUAACUAUCCCUCUGCUGUAAGGAAGACCCUCUCAUGCACUAAUGUCAAGUCUAUGAGCAAAUGGGCCUCCUGCCCUGCUGGGAUGACUGCUACUGGUUGUUCUUGUGGCUUUGCCUGUGGAUCUUGGGAAAUCCAGAAUGAAAAUAUUUGCAACUGCCUGUGCUUAAUCGUUGACUGGGCCUAUGCCCGCUGCUGCCAACUGUCCUAAGAAUGGAGAGGCACAGAACUCAGCUUUGAUAUGAUGAGUCUAACAAAACUGCAAUCUCAACUUGGAAAUCUGACUCAUGCGCAUUUGAUGUAUUCAUAUUGCCCAUUAACCCCGCUUCUUGAAAAAAUAAAGACAAAUUUACAUCUUUC
This 601-nucleotide long non-coding RNA is filed under the name Rattus norvegicus (Norway rat). RNAcentral's name for it is "long non-coding RNA NONRATT006966". The record is from RNAcentral. Lineage: Eukaryota; Metazoa; Chordata; Mammalia; Rodentia; Muridae.